GAUGAACGCUGGCGGCGUGCCUAAUACAUGCAAGUCGAGCGAACGGACGAGAAGCUUGCUUCUCUGAUGUUAGCGGCGGACGGGUGAGUAACACGUGGAUAACCUACCUAUAAGACUGGGAUAACUUCGGGAAACCGGAGCUAAUACCGGAUAAUAUUUUGAACCGCAUGGUUCAAAAGUGAAAGACGGUCUUGCUGUCACUUAUAGAUGGAUCCGCGCUGCAUUAGCUAGUUGGUAAGGUAACGGCUUACCAAGGCAACGAUGCAUAGCCGAACUGAGAGGGUGAUCGGCCACACUGGAACUGAGACACGGUCCAGACUCCUACGGGAGGCAGCAGUAGGGAAUCUUCCGCAAUGGGCGAAAGCCUGACGGAGCAACGCCGCGUGAGUGAUGAAGGUCUUCGGACCGUAAAACUCUGUUAUUAGGGAAGAACAUAUGUGUAAGUAACUGUGCACAUCUUGACGGUACCUAAUCAGAAAGCCACGGCUAACUACGUG
Molecule: ribosomal RNA, 497 nt
Filed under: uncultured bacterium
Lineage: Bacteria
Description: partial 16S ribosomal RNA
Rfam family: Bacterial small subunit ribosomal RNA
Source: RNAcentral